CAGUAGCCGCGGUAAAACGUAGGGCGCAAGCGUUAUCCGGAAUUAUUGGGCGUAAAGAGCUCGUAGGCGGUUUGUCGCGUCUGCCGUGAAAGUCCGGGGCUCAACCCCGGAUCUGCGGUGGGUACGGGCAGACUAGAGUGAUGUAGGGGAGACUGGAAUUCCUGGUGUAGCGGUGAAAUGCGCAGAUAUCAGGAGGAACACCGAUGGCGAAGGCAGGUCUCUGGGCAUUAACUGACGCUGAGGAGCGAAAGCAUGGGGAGCGAACAGGAUUAGAUACCCCCGUAGUCCCUGUCUCUUAUAA
Molecule: ribosomal RNA, 301 nt
Filed under: uncultured bacterium
Lineage: Bacteria
Description: partial 16S ribosomal RNA
Rfam family: Bacterial small subunit ribosomal RNA
Source: RNAcentral